UGCGUCGAUACUAAUCAGUGGGUGGCAGAAUUGGAGCCCUGAAUACAUGGACCAAAUAUCCAAAAAACUCGAUGGAACACCUCUGUGUUUGUCUCUAUCGUAGAAAAUUUUGUAAAAUCUAUCAUGAUCCCCUCGUUGGCAUAAUAAACUGUAGCUAAUCAAAGAUCCAAUGUGUUAUAGAACUUUAUCCAAUCUCCAAACAGCUCAUCCAUAACAAGUUGUUUAGCUAUCCACAUCUUUCUGUAAGAUACCUCGCACUGCCAUGCAUCAUGUAUAUAAGCCUGAUAGGCUGAUAUGGAUAUGGAUAUCUCUAUCCUAACUGAUCUUUCAAUGAUAUCGAUAAUCAUGCAUGCAUCAAGCUGUUGGUGAUCUCGCAUCACAUCUGUAUUCAAGCAUGUAUAUGAUCCUUUAUAUAUCGUAAUCUUCUAUCACUGCAUCUUGAUCCGAAAGAAUGCACGAAGAUGCCAACUGUAAGUAUCAGACUGUUUACACAUGAUACUCUAUUUAAUCCUAUCUGACUCGAUGACUUUGAAAAGAUGGUGGGUGUGAAUGGCAUAUUGUUUCAUGACAUGUUGGACAUGUUCUUUUGACUUGAAUACCAUUCUCUUUCUUAACUCUUCAUUUCCAUCAAAAAAUGGAUGCUUUGAUAAUGCUAUAUGGGAUGCGGCCUCAUCAUCGUCGAAUGCAUUAACUAGUCUGAAUUCAAGAACAAGAGGUACCUCAUAUGGUGGGACAGCCUCUUCUGUACUAAAAUCUCCACUAUCACUGCCAUCAGAUUUUGUAUCAUCAUCAUCAUCUUCGUCAUCAGUAGGAUUAGGAUCAUAACUAACAGCGGCUUCAUUUCAAAUAAAAUUAUAUUGAUCGUUGCGGUUCCCAAUCCUUUAAGUCUAGCAUAUGUUGCAUGUGGCUGAUUAAGUGGUACAGAGUUGUAAGGUUCGUGCUCCAUAUGCUCUAUGGUAGCUAUCACAUAAGUAGGAUCGACCUUCGUAUCAUCAAAUAUGGUGUUAUAUGAAUAUUGAUAUACAGACUCUGUACCUAUCAUAUACUGAGGAUCAUCAGUUAC
Molecule: long non-coding RNA, 1063 nt
Filed under: Elaeis guineensis (African oil palm)
Lineage: Eukaryota; Viridiplantae; Streptophyta; Magnoliopsida; Arecales; Arecaceae
Description: long non-coding RNA (EGUI_LNC010267)
Source: RNAcentral